This 1062-nucleotide long non-coding RNA is filed under the name Musa acuminata (dwarf banana). RNAcentral's name for it is "long non-coding RNA (MACU_LNC008799)". The record is from RNAcentral. Lineage: Eukaryota; Viridiplantae; Streptophyta; Magnoliopsida; Zingiberales; Musaceae.
CUCUUUUCCCUCAGUUAGUGCUUCCAGAAGUAUUUAUUACUUUCCCACAUGAGAGGGGAGGUCUCCCUAAUUCAGUUAAUAGGAGCAACAGUAAGAGCAACAGUAAUUCAAUUGAAAAGCGGUAAGUAAACUAUAUGUAUUAUUACCCUAGUCGUUUUCUUAUCGGCUUCGGCGGAUUCUCUUUCAACGGAGUAUAGGCCUGAUCAAGCUUAUGAUCGGACUGCAGUCAAAUCGGGGUCAGUUAUUCAAGUCCGGCUUUAUGUGAUGGUUGUUCCCUUGCCCUUGCUUCUUUAUGGUUGUUCCCUUGCGCCUAACAACCUUCUUUUAUUGUAUUGUACACUACCUUGUUGCGCCAACGAUUAUAUUAGUUUCGGGGAACAAGCAACUCGUGGUCCGCUUUCUUUAGUGAGUGGUGCGUUAGUAAGUUGUGCCUUAGCUUAUUACUUCUAAGCUAGCUUCUUACUUCGGGCUUACAAUAAGAUAUUCCAUUCCUCUGGAGGUGUGUUUACUGGAUUCUACAAUAUUAUAUUCCUCAGGAGAGUAGGCUAGAAUUACCUUUUAUUCCCUCGGAUCAUUGAACUAUCUUAAGAGAGCGGGUAAGAUUACACAAUAAGGAGCCGUCUUCAUCCAUAUAUAUUAACAACCACUUCUUCUGUGACAUUAAUGGAGCGCAUAGCAUUCUUUUAAGUGCUUUUUUGCGCAUAGCAUUCUUUUGAGUACUUUUUUUCCUAGAUAUCAAUAGCUUUCCCCGAUUGACUCUAUGCCUUCUGCUUCGAUUCGAAAUUCCAUGUUUCUCUAUGCUCUUCCAUAUGAAGAAGGAGUGGAUUUUGGGGGUCUCGUAGAAUAUGAGAAAGGCUGCUUUUGGAGUGAUCUGUCCCUGUCCUGUAACCAUCAAUCACUUGAAUAAGAGAAGGCAUCCUAGGCUAGGGAAGAUGGUAUGUCCCUUUCAUGAUCUAGGCGCCGCCUUUAUUCAUUCUACGGAUUCUCUAUCCUUGUAAAGAUGGAGUUGGUGCGCAAUCUACUGAUCAUUGGUAUAAUAUAAAUAGAAAGAACAGAAAUAUG